AUUUAAAUAGCUUAUAUAGAGCAUAAUAUUGAAGAUAUUAGGGAAAUAAAAAUUAUUUUUAAAUA
RNAcentral lists this transfer RNA (65 nucleotides) under Staphylinidae sp. BMNH 1274170. RNAcentral describes it as "tRNA-Phe". The record is from RNAcentral. Lineage: Eukaryota; Metazoa; Arthropoda; Insecta; Coleoptera; Staphylinidae.